RNAcentral lists this transfer RNA (80 nucleotides) under Vibrio metoecus. RNAcentral describes it as "tRNA-OTHER". It matches the Rfam family "tRNA". From Rfam's summary of the family: Transfer RNA (tRNA) molecules are approximately 80 nucleotides in length. Their secondary structure includes four short double-helical elements and three loops (D, anti-codon, and T loops). The record is from RNAcentral. Lineage: Bacteria; Pseudomonadati; Pseudomonadota; Gammaproteobacteria; Vibrionales; Vibrionaceae.
CGGUGAAUAGCGCAGUUUGGUAAGCCGCAUCUGGUUUGGGGACCAGAGGGUCGGGGGUUCGAAUCCCUCUUCACCGACCA